Molecule: ribosomal RNA, 396 nt
Filed under: Triticum aestivum (bread wheat)
Lineage: Eukaryota; Viridiplantae; Streptophyta; Magnoliopsida; Poales; Poaceae
Description: partial small subunit ribosomal RNA
Source: RNAcentral
AUGCAAGACUACUUCGCGGAGAAUCCAACGUAUCCACCUCACCUCUUCCGGAGAAGGUACCGAAUGCGCCGAUCCCUCUUUGUUAGACUUGUUCAAGCUUGUGAGGCCAAUUGUCGGUAUUUUACACAAAGAAGAAAUGAUGCGGGCUUGAAGGGAUUUAGUGCAUAUCAAAAAAUCUCGGCAGCUAUGCGGGUGACUGCGUAUGGGGUUCCGGCUGAUUAUGCUGAUGAGUAUCUUUGCAUUGGUGAAGAUACAACAAUUGAGUCGGUGCGUAGAUUUGCCAAAGUGAUCGUCCAUGUCUUUGGUCUUGAAUAUCUUCGAGCACGGAACGAGGAUGACACAAAGAAAUUGAUGGCAUCUAAUGAGAGGAGAGGGUGGCCUGGCAAUGCUAGGUAG